CGCUUCCCUGACCGCAGAGCCGCGCCCUCGGGCCUGCUGGCUGCCCCUGAGCCGCGGGAUGGGCUUCUUUUCUGACAGUGUUUUCUUGAGGAACCGCGCCAGCGAGGUGGCCGGGCGGGGCUCAGGGCGGCCAAACUCGGGGGGCCAAGCCCAGGCCGCGGGGGCCCCGAAGGCAGACAGAGCGCGCUGCAGCUUCACUUGCGGCCAGGAAAGAGGCGGGAACUGGCGGAUGAGAGAUAGCUUGGACCUGGCAGGUUUGUCCAUGCCCUGCUGCUCAAAGAAAGCAGAGCUAGGCAGGCGGAAGGAGGUGCCCUGCCGCUCCCCGCCUGGCUCUUCUGGCUCCUCCAGUUCCACAAUGUCAUCCAGUGGGGUGGGCGUAUGGGUUGUGGGGGUGACAGGAUGGGCGCUGGUACCCAGGGGUAAGCAAAGGCUGACUCUUCUGGGUACAGAUAGGGCGCGCCUGGGGGAUAAAUGGCCUCGUCUCCUCCACCGUAGAUGCCUUCGGCAUAGGGGACAGGUGUGGGGGAUCCCAUAGGGAUCAAGGUAGGGCAUACUGUAGGGAUUCUCAUACGGCAGGUCAUAGGAUGGGCAAGGCACUUCGUAGGGCGCAUAGGGAUCCGGGUAGUAGCUGUAGGGGUAGCCUUCGCCUUCGAGCUCGUCCUGGUAGCUGUAGGGUGACGAGUACCCUGAUGGGGGCGCGUAUGGGGGCUCAUAGUCAUAGUAGCCGUAGCCGUGGCCAGGGAAAAAGGAGCCGCCAUAGUGGUCAGGCAGGUAGUAGUCGUAGGGGUCCUCGGGCGGGUACUCGUAGGGGUAGUCAGUGUAGGGUGGCCAGGCUGGGCUGUAGAGACCAUAGCCAGCCAGGUAGGCCUCUUGCUCCUCGUAGCGGUGCAUUGACUGCUGGUCGUAAUAGUCAUCGCCCUCGCGAUGGUAGUCAUAAUAUUCACCCAGGUCCUGGAAGCCUUCCAGUCCAUACAACGACUUUCGAGAGCCCGCGUGCCGAAAGGGUGCCUCGUCCUCAAAAGGUAGCGAACACUGCCCUGAAUGCUAAGAGGUCAGACUUCAGUGGAGCAAGACACGGUCUCUGUCAGAGUUCCCAAGGUCACAGACCUUAAGCUAAGAGUCACAUCAUCCAGAAGAGCUGUGAAAGUCAAAGCAUGACCCCAGGUACUCAACACCACAAUGGAGGCCCAGGAAAGCUCCUCUAAGAAGUAGCAGGAAUCAAACUCAGGAUCUUAUGCUUGCCAGGAAGGCAUGGCACCGCUGAGCUACAUCCCUGGCCCCGAUACACAGUUCUUGAGGAGGGCAGAUGAGCUUGGAGUUUCUUGCCAAAAGAGGGUUCCAAAAUAAUGAACUGUAUAAUCUAAGCUGGAGGAGGGACAUGGAGAAUGAAUAUACAGAUAUUGUACAGACACACAGAUGCUUUUUCCCUUGGCUUCUUUACAUGAGCUUUCUAAAGCUGCAGGCCAGGUUGUCCUCUGGGGUACCAGCCUGGGGCUGAGUACAGCCCUGCUGUGUGGGGAUGGGCUGAGUGAAGCUGCAGGACCCUCCUGUAAUGGCCAGGGGAGGGUGAGUGAUGGGACCAAGGUGGCCAACAGGAACAGGGCCCAGCCCUGGAGUUCACCUUGGUAGCAUGGGUUAGGGACCACAGAGGUUGCUUAGAGGGCUUCCCAGCCAAAGGCCACUAAGCUGGCUUGUCACUUUGACUUGGGCAUGUACAGCUGAAAAGUCCCUCUCACACAGUUCACCCUUGCUGAUCACAGAUCCAAAAAGUCCAGGGCACAAUACAUGGAGAUGUCUCUGAUCCCCAACACAAAGACUGAGCCCAGCAAACAAGUUCAC
Molecule: long non-coding RNA, 1839 nt
Filed under: Heterocephalus glaber (naked mole-rat)
Lineage: Eukaryota; Metazoa; Chordata; Mammalia; Rodentia; Bathyergidae
Description: lncRNA (ENSHGLG00000042888.1)
Source: RNAcentral